CAAAACAUCUCAGAUGCCUUACAGAUCCCCUGGAAACUCCAUACUCCAUGGUGACCACAGGCUAGUGGUGUAGUAGAACGUACAAAUCAGACCCUCAAGCGUCAUCUAUCAAAGAUCUGCCAGGAGGCCUCUGUGCGAUGGCCCGAUGCUUUGCACCUUGCUCUGCUUCGCAUCCGUGCCCUCCCAAAGGGAAGAUUAGGGCUUAGCCCCUUUGAGAUUAUGUUUGGAAGGGCAUGGCCUAUGAAUGGGACGCCGGUUCUCGCAGGGGAGUGGGAAAUAGAAUGUAAUAUUUUGUCACGGUAUAUGUGCUCUCUGUCUGCUGUUCUUUUUUCUCUCCAUAGGUACACUAAAGACUUGCAGCCUCUUCCGCUGGAUGCUCCAGUCCACUCAUUACAGCCGGAGAUUCCGUGCUUGUUCGUACCUGGAAGGAUGAGCCCCUCCAAGAAAAGUGGAAAGGACCUCACACUGUCGUACUAGUUUCCCACACAGCGGCAAAGGUCGAUGGACACAAGAACUGGAUUCAUCACGAGACGAUUUAGCAUGAUCCUUCUCCCGUCGUAUGGAGUGUGCCGAAAAUUCCCAAGAUAUUAACGAACACAUUUUGUCGGCCGAACAGGCUUUUGAGCAGUGGAAAAGUCAGGAACGUGAACCCACUGUUUUCGAUUCUCUCUGGAGCUGGUUGCCCAACCUCGGAGGCCUAGGAACAGGCAUCCUUCACCUCCUGGUCACCGGUGAUGUGUUGUGUUUAAUUACCCUCCUCUUAUUUGCGUGCUGUAAUGCCCUCCUGCACAAAGUCUGUGUAUCCCCCUCCCCGAGCGCUUCACAGUACCCCUGCAUUGAAGAUCCCAGUUCCCAAACACUUAAUCACCUUUUAUCUUCAGAAUAUGAGAAAACUCAGCCAAAACUUUGUUGAGUAUUCUCAAAGGGGGGAGUUGUUGGUGUCACUGGGCAUAACCCUAGGUAACUCAGAGGGAUGGAAGACCACGAGUGUCGAUGAAGCCCCUCUGCUCUAGGCCCAGGCGAGCCAGGGCCCCCCCCCCCCGAACCUUUGUAACCCUUUCCUUGAACUUUUUGUAACCUCCUGUAAUACUGGAAAACCAGGGAUGAGUAGCAGGCAAGCUGAAACUCCCUAAAACUGUUAUCUGUGGAAUGCAAGGUUACCGCUCAGAGAGAGAAUGGAGGAGGGAAGGGGGUGGGGGAAGUGGAAGCCAACUAGUGGAAAACUACUGCAGAACAGGGUAUAAAAAUACACUGUUGCAGGGCUAGGGGCGCAGGAUUUGAGACCAUACAGUCUCCCUGCACCUUUUACUUGAGCUCAAAUAAACUCUGUCUACUUCUCCCCCCA
This 1345-nucleotide long non-coding RNA is filed under the name Crocodylus porosus (Australian saltwater crocodile). RNAcentral's name for it is "lncRNA (ENSCPRG00005009634.1)". Lineage: Eukaryota; Metazoa; Chordata; Crocodylia; Crocodylidae. The record is from RNAcentral.